CUGUGCACGAUGCUUUUCAACUCUGUCUUCAGGGACUUCAGGAGCACUGCUUAAAACCGGCCUUGGUGAGGAGGGAUUUAUUUCAUUUGCUCCUGAAGUUAAAUCUCAUGAAAUCAUGUGAAAUUCAGUGAUGUGUUACUGGGAACAAAAAGGGUUACGUUAUUAAUUGUGAUGCCUUCCCACAAGAGCUGUGUCUGUACUGUGCCACAUAACCCCUGAAGCUGAAUAAAGAACUUUCUCCUUGAUUCCCCCAGCCCUCCAAAAACAUCAGGUGAGUGUGUAGCACUUUCUAUUAAAGGUCUGGGGAUAACAAGGUAAUUUAUACAGUUAUCCCACUGGUGCUGCUGCUUCAGAGCUUUCCUCAAAUUUCUAUUCCUUUCACUUUAUUAGACAGAAGAGUUAUGCUCUCCACCCUUGCAUAACCACAGACACAUCAACAGGCUGGUGUAAACAAGGGGCUAUCUAGUAUUGCUCUUUCCCUGUAGUGGUACUAGAGAGAGCCACUGAAAUCCAGGUCUUUGCUUUAGUCAGCCCCAAUUAGACUCUCCAGAGAAGGGAAUGGUAUUGAUUGACUUCUCUUGAUAUGAGUUUGUCACUCCCCAUAUAAAGCAAAGUAGCUAUAGUUCCUUUGGGUUUAAAAUAACCAUUUGAUUUAUUUCCAUUAUACUAAAUGGCCUUCAGUAUUACAGAUUUUGUUUUGCCUGCCACGGGAUCACAAGCAAAGCCUUCUCCAUACGGACAGGCUUGGAGACAGCCUCAAGACUUAAACUUUCAUUGGUCAUGUCAGCAUACUGUAAUUUACUUUGUGCCCACAUGAUACACCUAUAUUCAUAACAACCAAGCAAAAUAAGUACUAAUGUUCCCUAUUUUAUAGAUAAGGAGACUGAGGUCAGAGAAAUAACUUGCAUAAAAUUACAUGGGAAAUGGGAGCUUGGACAGAUGUGGAACCGAGAUCUGCCAGCUGGCAAGGCUGUGUGCCCUUUCCAUCAUAUCCUGGUUCUAGGAGAAAAAGACGUUAAGCUGUAUUUUCCAAAGUAUUUGAUCUCCCAACCCUGGGAAACUUUGUUUUUAAGACUUUCUCAAACAGCCUCUCAUAUUCUCCCAGCAGGUGAUGAGGUCCCAUUGUAAAUGACCCAAGGACAAACAGCUCAUGACUUCAAAGGAGGCCUCUUCAACCCAGGGCAAAUUCAGGCCUUCAUUCCAGGGGUCUGUAAGCAAGUACUGAGUGAAGAGAUAUCCUAAAAUCAAUCGGUAAAUUGCAUGUUUGAAGUAAACUAAAAACCAAAUUUCAGGGUUGAUGCUGGCUUUGGAGGAGAUGGGAAAAUCAUUUGUUUGGAGACAAGAAGCAUGUUAUGCCGGUAGAUGUGUGCACAUAUGCUUCUAUAAGUGGGUACAUGCAUUCCCACUUUUCCUGCCAAGUCUUUAGAAAACCACUUAAGUAAGAAUGGAGAAAUGUAGCAUUGUAGCUUCCCUACAGUUUGUGUUCAUUUUGUUUAUUGCAGUAAAAUAUAUAUAUAUAAAAUGCAAAAUUAAUUUCUGAGUACACAAUUGAGUGGCAUUACAUAUAUUCACAUUGUUGUGCAGCCAUCACCACUAUUUAACUUAGCAUAAUGUUUUCAAGGUUUGUGCUACUGUUUUAAUUGUUUGCCUCUUUGCAGUUCCUCUUUGCCAACCCUGGAUAAUGGCAACAACUUCUUUAGUGGCAUGCUGCAUGCUCUGUUUGGUCAUGUCCAGAGAUACCCAAGAUAAAGAAGUUUGAUAAAUAUACACAUUAACUCAGCAAAAAUAACAUGGUUAUUUUCAUGAAUAUUGCACUUGGGCACAUCAGCAAAAUUCAAAAGUGAUAAAAGGUGAGCAUUGUAUAUGAAUUUUGCAUAUGUACAUGGUAAUAUUUUGACACUAGGAACAAUAUUUUAAGUUGAAAUGUCUAUAUUUUAAUUUAGUAAAGAUUUGGCAAGCCCCUGCUAUAUUAGCAAUAUCAAGAUAAUGAGAUAAAGAUCCCACUCUCAAUAAAAAUAUAAAAUUAUACAUGUUUCUUGUGCCCAUCAUCAGCCAUCGUUAUGAACAUCACUCUGAACUGUUAUGCACAAUAAGAUAACUAGAGGGUUAAAAAUGAAGGUUUUACUGCUCACGUUGAAUAUUAUUUUUAGAAAAGAAAGUCAUUUCUAUUAUAGAGGAGGCAUUGUGGUCUACUAUAAUGGCAAGCAUAUUAAAAACAAUGCAUUCCUGGUGAAAUAAUGCUUAGAGCAUAGUCAACAAAAUAAGCAGGCUGCUGAAAAAAGUUUAAAUGUCAUAUUUCAUUAAUUCUAAGACACAUUUCCUCCUGCUUUUAGAUCUCUCAAAUUGAAAGGCAUCUUACAACCUAUAGAUGAAAUCUAGUAAAUAGAAUAAGAUAAAAAGUAUCUUAGUUUCUUUCCUUGGGUUGUUUGCCUUUCUUUUAAGGGAAGGUUUGUUUGACUGUUGUGUUUUGUUUUUAACAGCUUGUUUAUGAAUCUUCCCUUUUCUAGCGUUAAUGAUUGUGUGAGCCUAGAAUUUAAAUGGUACAAAACUCUGAUUUUUGUUUUUAUUCUUUGUUCUGACCAUUACUGAGGGGAGUACAGGACACUGAAGCAGAAACAAGGUCUGAAAGUGGCAAUGUGGACCUUGCUCCUCUGUGGAGGACUCUGGUACCUGUCUGUGUCUGAAUCUUGCCACUUCCACUUAUCUAGCUUUGCGAUCUGGAAAAGAUUAACUUUAGCCUCUCUGUGCCUCAGUUUCUUCAAGUGCUGAAUAAUGGUAUCUACCUCAUAGUGCUGCUAUGAGGGUUGAGUUUAAUAUAAGUAAGGCCUUAGAAUAAUGCCUGGCACAUACUAAAUAUUCUCUCAACUUUAGCUGUUACCAUUGUGCCUCACUUCCUUGGUGAUCUCUUUAGAUCCCUGUUUAACUACAUCCUCAUAUUGUGAAUGACUCCUAAAAUGCUAUCUUCAGCAUGGGCCUAUCCCCUGAAAUCCAGGUGUCUAUAUCCAACUGUUUACUCCAUUUGGCUAUCUAAAGUUGUCUCAAAAUUAACAGGUCUCUAAAAGAACUCAAUUUUUUUUUACCUUCAUUAAACGGUUUCUCCUCCAAUUUUCCCAAUCUGCAUAAAUGGCCCCAGAUCAUCCGUAAACCACUCUCUUUAUCUGCCACGUUCCACAGUUAAGCUAUCAGCAAAGUCUGGCAGCUAUGCCUUCAAAAUACAUCUAGAUCUGACCAUUUCUCAUGACCAUCAUAGCAUUUACCUUGAUUCAAACCAUUGACUCUUUCCUGAACAAUCGGAGUAGCUUCCUACUGAUUUCUCAGCGUCCACCUUAACUCCUAUAAUCUUUUAUCCAGAAUGAUCCCUUUACAUUAUGAACCAUCAUCAUGUUUCUCCUUUGCUCAAGACCCUCUAAUCACUUUUCAUCUCACUCAUAGUAAAAGCUUUAGUCCUAGGGAAGCCCACACAGUGGCAUCUGCCUUGGUUCCACGGUACUUCUUGCUCCUCCUCUUCCCCAACUUGACUCUGCUUCAGCCACAUUGAUUUCUAUAAAUGGCUCAUGCACCAUCCUGCUCUUGCUAUUCCUUCCACAAAUGGUCAGAAAGUUUUGCUCCUUUAUUUUCUUCAUGUCUUUUAUCAAAUAGACCUUCCUUCCCUGACUACCAUGAGGAAACAGUAUCCAUUUCCCUCCUCCCAGUCCUCUGUUUCUUACUUUAUUUUAUUUUUCUUCCUCACACUGAUCACCACCUGAUAUGUUAUCUAUUUAUCUCUCUUUCUCCUUGAGAUCAGGGACUUUUUGUUCAGGCUGUAUCCUUGGGGCCUAGAACUGUAUCUGACACAUAAUAGGGACUUAGUAAAUAUUGAAUAAAUGAAUGAAUAAAAUAACUGGUAUGUUUUGAAACAUGACUUUGUUGAGACCCUCCUUAAAGUGUCUGGAUUUCCAACUGCAAAUAGAUUUGUAGUUAUUACAUGGAUUUGUGAAAAUUUUAAGAUUGGAUUAGAAGGGCUUUUUUAAGUCAGUAGUUUUUUUUUUUUUUUUUU
This 4036-nucleotide long non-coding RNA is filed under the name Homo sapiens (human). Its description in RNAcentral is "HSALNT0308677". The record is from RNAcentral. Lineage: Eukaryota; Metazoa; Chordata; Mammalia; Primates; Hominidae.